AGGAGCCAAUGGGUAUUAAAGAAAAGGGGAAGGGGUUGGAGGCCGAGGAGGAGGAGGCAAGGAGUCAGAUAAAAAAGGAGGAGCCAGUGGGUAUUAAAUGAAAAAUAGGAAAAAUCUGGGAUGCAAUAAUGACGAUGAUGGGAAAUGGCAGAGAAAAAGGAAUGAUGGAAAUUCCUGCACAAAUGGAAUGAUUCAAUAGAUAGGGUGAAAAUCAGGGAUAAAUUGGACGGGGCGGCUUCGAGGUCGCCGAUCGAGUACUUUUUGGCGUGUGCGUGCAGCUAAUUUUUUUUUUUUAUUUAUUUUAUUAAAACAA
This is a long non-coding RNA of Manihot esculenta (cassava), 313 nucleotides long. RefSeq lists it as uncharacterized. NCBI's taxonomy places the organism in Eukaryota, Viridiplantae, Streptophyta, Magnoliopsida, Malpighiales, Euphorbiaceae. The transcript is spliced from 2 exons. The record is from RefSeq and is a predicted model, not a curated record.